This 253-nucleotide ribosomal RNA is filed under the name uncultured bacterium. RNAcentral describes it as "partial 16S ribosomal RNA". It matches the Rfam family "Bacterial small subunit ribosomal RNA", at positions 524 to 776 of the family's 1533-position model. The record is from RNAcentral.
UACGGAGGAUCCGAGCGUUAUCCGGACUUAUUGGGUUUAAAGGGUGCGUAGGCGGGUUGUUAAGUUGUUGGUGAAAUUUCUGGGCUUAACCGAGGGAGUGCUGACAAUACUGAUAGCCUGGAGUAGGUUGAAGGGAGGCGGAAUGAUACAAGUAGCGGUAAAAUGCAUAGAUAUGUAUCAGAACACCGAAAGCGAAAGCAGCUUUCCUUGACCGUACUGACGCUGAGGCACGAAAGCGUGGGGAUCAAACAGG